UCUGUAAAUUUGAUGCAAUUCAACAAAACAUAUUGAGCUGUGUGCUGAACCCUGAGAUGGGAUAGAGAAAUGAAAAGAAUUGGGUCCUUGCCCCCCAGAGCAGAGAUACCAGUAAUCUGAUGGACCUUCUUCCAGGCUGAAGGGGAGCAGGGAGAGGGUCCCAGGUGAUGAGGGAGGUAAGCAGGGGUAACAAACAGUGUCCUGGCAUGGUGAGCAUCCCCUCGGCCUUCCAGGGGUGUUUCAAAUUCAACAUUUCCAAAGCAAAAUCAUCUUUCUCAACCUCCUUUCUCCUGGGUUUCUUAUCUCAGUGACCAACAUCAUCACCUGCUCAGUCUCCCAGGACUGAGACCUGGGAGUCAUCCUUGAUUUCUCUCACUUUCUCCCAGUAAUCAGUUGUUCCUUGAGCUUUGUCAAAUCAAACUCUUUAACAGCUCAUAUCUGUCUCUGUCUCUUCUCUGUACUUCCUGUCACCUCCUUAGUUGCGACUCUAUGGGUCAAUGCAAUAUUUUCUCCAUCUUCAACCUUGUAGCUGAUCGUGUCACUCCCUGUUUAAAUCUCUCAGUGACUAAGGAUCAGGUCCAAAUUCCUUGGCAUGGCUCCCACAUGUAGCUCAGACUUUGAUUCUAUGCUGCUUCUACCCAAGCUGAAUUGCUUGCAGAUCCCCUAACCACUGUGCUUUUGGGCCUCUGCCUUUGUCCAUAUAGUUUAUGCCUAGAGGUCCUUACCUACCCUUUUCACCUGGUUAACCUCUACUCAUGCUCAAGGUUCAGUUCAAGAAUCAUGUAAGGUCUGAUAAAUCUUGACCAAUCACCCCUAUCCCCCAACUCAUUAUCCCCCAACUCAUUAUGAGUUAGGUAGCUUUUCUUUGGGUUCAUGUAGUAUCCCUUGUAUGUCUCUAUCUUCCCACACUAUUGAUUCAUUUUUCUCCCUCAUGGGAUUGUAAACACCUUCAGGUUAGAGAGCAAGCUUUUUUUUUUUUUUAAUGCUUCUUUAUUAUUAUAAUUUUAAGUGUUUAAAUGUUUAUUUUUGAGAGAGAGAAAGAGAGAGAAAGAGAGCAAGCAAGAGCACAAGUGGGGGUGGGGCAGAGAGAGAAGGAGACUCAGAAUUUGAAGUAGGCUCCAGGCUCUGAGCUGUUAGCACAGAGCUCAACAUGGGGCUCAAGCCCAUGAAACACGAGAUCAUGACCUGAGCUGAAGUGGGAUGCUUAACCUACUGAGCCACCCAGGCGCCCCACCCCCCCUUUUCAAAUGUCUGUAGUUUCAGAGAUCUGAACAAUCCCCAACACUCUCAAUGUUUUUAAAUUAAUACAUUUUCAUUAAAAAAAAAAUUGGCUUCAGGAUUUAAGAAAAGAGCAACUUUACAAAUUCACUUAGGGUCUUGCCCUCCCCAUCCCUUUCAUCUUUUUGCCCUGUGAUUCUGGGGAAGGCAGGAAGCUUUUACUGUCAAUUCUGGGUUACCCCACUGUGUAAACAGCAGUCCAGAUCAUGCAAAUUUAGGGAUCCAUACGAAGUCAUUUCCAUUUAGUUUUGGGACCAUCUGAAAAUUUGGAUUUAAAUGUGAGUGGGUCUUAUGUUCUUGGAAUUUCCAUUAGAAGCCAGAUCCAGGAGCCACUGGCUGAAGUCAUACAUGGGUAUGUCCCAGUUAGUGGACUUAACCAUGCUGGCCAGCUUUACCCGCUCCCCCACCCCUCAUCCCUGCUGAAAAUCAAGAGACUGGCAUUCUGGAUUAUAUGUUGGUAUUUUAUGAGCUGGGUUGACAUUAUUUAGUUCAUAAGAGUCUGACAAAACAGGCCAUACUGAAAAAAUAAAAGUUGUAGGUCAGCAAACCUGGUUAUAAACUCUGUUCCCCCACAAGACCCCAACCAUCCAUCGUAUCUCCCCAACUCCACAUGCUUCACCUCAUUCUCUUAUCUGACCCCUCACCACUUGUCAUUUCUAUCUCUUGUAAUCCCAGAUCAGGUCAAUGCAGAGUUUAGUGAAGAUGGGUAACAAUGCCAUAGAAAAGCCAAGAGUCAUAGCCUUUUACUUUCUCCCAGGGAUUGCUACUAGACAAAAGUUGCCCGUGGAAUGGAAACCAUUUUGUAAGGCUUUAUUAUAAUAUCCAACACUUCUGUUCAAAGAUUGGGACCUGUGAAGGUCUAUCUGGGUGGUGUGAAUCUUUACCUCUCCUUACAGUUCCAGGUAUUCCUAAGGUUUCCCUGGAGCUGGCAAAGUACUUGAUUUGGGGGUUCCUUCUCAGGGUACAAAGGGAAGGACACUAGGAAAAAGGGAGUAGAGGGUGGAUUGGGGACCAAAAUGAAAAAUGGCAAAGCCAGAACUGGGUGAGUAGGAAUGGGUACAUUCAUCUUUGUUGGGUGUCCUUUCUAGAGCAUAGGAUUGAGGCUCAAGUAUUCUCCUUUAAUUCUAGAUUCCUGGGCUGGAAGUGUCCUCCAGAAUGCUUACCUGGGUACAGGUGUACAGCUGGUUUUCUAAAGAUCUCAGUUUGCACUUCAAUUUGUCUUCAUUAAGCUGGCCCUGGAGCAAAUGGGAUGACUUAAUUAGUCUGGGCCAAAAUAUAGCAUGCAAAGAGUUUUCUUCUGUUUUCCCAGCUUACUGCCUAGAACAUGGUCUGUGCUCAAGCAAUGUUUGUGGAACUGAACUCUUUCAGGAGGUAGGGAGGAGGAAGGAUGUCAAAGGAUGUUUAGGUAGAAGAUCUUUUCUUCUGUCUCUGGAAUAGGAGAAGGAGGAAUCGGACUGGCCCCAAGUCUUCUCUGUAUCUUGAGGUCCUCUAUCCAAUGGCUCAAGGUAUGAUAAUAGUUCACUUGAAGGAAAUCUUCUAAGCUCUUCUUUUCUUUCCUCAUUACCUCUCUCUCCUGUCUGUCUAGGCACUUCUGUAUUCCUCACCCCCUCAGUUGUGUACAGGAUCUUUACUUCUAAAGUAUAGGCCAGUAAGACCAAAAGGGUCUCCACAUUCCCUUCCUUACCUCCAUCAUGGGCUGAAUUGUGUCCCCCUUUGCUCUCCCCACCCCCAGAUUUAUACAUUAACAUCCUAACUCCCAGCGCCUCAGAAUGUGACUGUAUUUGGAGAUAGGAUCUUUAAAGAGAUAAUGAAUUUAAAAUGAGGUUGUUAGGGUGGGCCCUAAUCCACUAUGACUGGUAUCCUCAUAAGAAGAGAACAGAGCACUAUGUGAAGAAGACACAGGAGAAGACCGUCAUCUCAAGCCAAGGAGAGAAGCCUCAGGAGAAACCAACCCUGUCAAUACCUUGAUUUUAGACUUCUAGCUUCCAGAAUUGUGAGAAAAUAAAUUUCUUUUGGUUAA
Neofelis nebulosa (Clouded leopard) is the source of this 3298-nucleotide long non-coding RNA. RefSeq lists it as uncharacterized. NCBI's taxonomy places the organism in Eukaryota, Metazoa, Chordata, Mammalia, Carnivora, Felidae. The record is from RefSeq and is a predicted model, not a curated record. The transcript is spliced from 2 exons.